GUUUGAUCCUGGCUCAGAGCGAACGUUAGCGGCGCGCCUAACACAUGCAAGUCGCACGAGAAAGGGGGCAACCCCCGGUACAGUGGCGCACGGGUGAGUAACACGUGGGUGAUCUGCCCAGAAGAAGGGGAUAACCUCUCGAAAGGGGGGCUAAUACCGCAUAGGACCACCGGGGCUUUGGCUCUGUGGUGAAAGGGGGCCUCUGUUUACAAGCUCCUGCUUCUGGAUGAGCCCGCGUCCCAUCAGCUAGUUGGUAGGGUAAUGGCCUACCAAGGCUACGACGGGUAGCUGGUCUAAGAGGAUGGCCAGCCACACUGGAACUGAGACACGGUCCAGACUCCUACGGGAGGCAGCAGUGGGGAAUCUUGCGCAAUGGGCGAAAGCCUGACGCAGCGACGCCGCGUGGGUGACGAAGGCCUCGGUGUAAGCCU
Molecule: ribosomal RNA, 431 nt
Filed under: uncultured bacterium
Lineage: Bacteria
Description: bacterial SSU rRNA
Rfam family: Bacterial small subunit ribosomal RNA
Source: RNAcentral